Long non-coding RNA from Grus americana (Whooping crane), 2281 nucleotides. RefSeq lists it as uncharacterized. Lineage: Eukaryota; Metazoa; Chordata; Aves; Gruiformes; Gruidae. The record is from RefSeq and is a predicted model, not a curated record. The transcript is spliced from 2 exons.
GUGCAGCCCGAGAGGAGGAGGAGAAGGCGGGGGUGGAGGAAGAGCAGCCCGGCUCGCUGCGUGCAGAGAGGAGCCGCGCACGCAGCAAGCCCCUUUUCCUUACUCCGGAGAGGGCAAACCCCGCGGCGGGGGGGCGGCUUAGCCACGGGCUCCUCCCUGUUGCUCUCCUAAAGCAUUUCAAGCUCGACACACAGAAGUUGUUUCUCUGGGAGCAGCCAUGGUUCGUUUGACCGGUGGUUUUGACAGCAGAGAUGAAUUGAGGAUGCGGCACCCGCAGUUCUGACCUGGAAUUUGAACUCUUCUUCCUCCCUCCUCUCGGAGGGAGAGGGGGUGGAAGGUCUCAGGAUCGUCUGAUUGCCAUUGAUCCGAGCUGAUUUCCUGAGCAUUGGGUUCGUAUCGUGUCUACGUGCUCCUUGAUAGAUGAUUCCAGUCUGAAAAAAACACCGUGUCUCGAGAGGUGGUAAUUGGGUGCUCUGAUCUAACCUUUCUUCAGCGUUUAGCCAUCACCUCUACCACUAGCACCUCAUUUAAAAAAAAAAAUAAUAAUCAGGAAGCAUAAGAAAAGCCAUGAGAUGAAAGAAAAAUAUGAACAUUGCUGAUUUUUAAGCCCUAACUUUUUCCUUUCUGUUUUUUUUUUUUUUUGAGCAGAGAGGGAAUUGAAUCAUAUUUUCAUCAUUUUUUUUCCACAUCCAUGAGGGCUAGACACUUAUUUCUUUAAUACAGGGGGGAAAAAAAAAAAUUGAGAUUUCCAGGUGGUAACAUGACUGAAAGAAAACCUGAAUCCAUGUCCCAGUGGACACAUGCACCGGGCCCUCUUGCCUGUGCUGGGGUGAUCCUGUGCGUCCGGGGGAACGUUCUUUUGGUGCAGGCUCAUAAGCAAAACCCUGAAAGAGUAGCGAUGGAUCCAGCAGCCCUGGGGAGAGCCCACACUGCUGGAACCACCUGCUUCAUGUAACAUUUUCCUAGAGUUAAAUGUUUUUCUAAUGGUUUUCUAGAGCUAAAAAAUGAUCAGAUGGCUUCCCCCCCACCCCCCCAAAGGCUUCUUUGCUGUCUGGCAUGCAAAAGCUCCAGCAGAAAUUCCAUGAUCUGGAGCGAUUUGGUCCAAUGCCAUGAGAACGGUCUGCUCUGCACACUUUAGUAAGUGUAAAAGGGAGGAGAUCAAAAAAAAAAAAAAAGACGAGAAGAUAAAGAGCCCUGCGUGCUGCAGCCCCUGGGUGCUGCCUGGUCUCUCGGUCAUGUCAAAGCUUGCUGCCUCCUGCGCCAACAUGAGGAUGCAACAGAUGUCCUUAACCUUUACAGGUGCAGGGUCUGCAUUUCUUCAGUCUUUUUUCCUUGGAUGACUCAGAGCAUGGAUUAUUAGCAGCUUAGAUUUCUUUGGCCAAAGUGCAUCAUUGCAUAUACAUCCGGGUUAAAUCUAAGCAAUAUUUCUGAUCCACGUAGGCUUCUGACUUGGUUCUGCAUCUUUGGCGUUUACAAAAUGACCAGCGUUUGAACUCUCCCUGUUCUGUUUCUUAAAUGUCAGCAGAAACUUUUUUUUUAAUAAAACAAUGCAGCCUCCCCCUGCAAUGUUUGUAACCAAGAAACUGCGGCAUCGCAAGAGCAUGAGAAAAUAUUGCUCAUUAAAACCAGGGUAAGAAAUGACAGCGAAAGUGAUUUUUUUUUUUUUUUUUUUUCCCCCUCAUUGCAGAAUUCACAGUAAGUGGCUGCUAAAAUGGGACCAGCCGGUUCAGCCCCGCUUGUGCUGAAUACUGGGUUUAAUGUACUGAAACUGCUUCCAUUGGCAUGUGGGGCUGGUCAUAUGCUUAAACAUAUGCAUUUACUUAACAUCCACAGACUUAGGACCUUAUGUGUUAGACAAUCUCCUAGUCUAAAAUCCAAUUGCUGUGGUUUUUUGAUAUGAAAACUUUAACUUUGGUGUGAUAAUUUAAUUUCUCGUGUUGUAAAACAUCUCACCGCGUAGCUUUUCCCCCACCUCCCUCUGUUUUGACAAAGCAAAGUAAGUUUGUGCUACUGUCAGCUUUCCUUGCCUUGUUUUUCUCUUCUUCCUGCAUCUCAUUAAUACACAAGCGGUAUUAAAUAAUAAUGAUGCCAGUAGUGGCCUCUGCUGUGCCUCGAUGUUCGCUCCUUUUUACUUGGAGGAGCAGAUGUUCCCUGUCCUUGUUUUCUGUUGCCAAACGGGGACUUUGCCCCUUUAACCUUUGAUAAGGUGCUUUAAUCAUCUCUGAUGUGAGAUUUUAUCAAAAGCCUUGGCAGAAGCCAAAUAAAUGAUACCCGCCCAGCG